RNAcentral lists this ribosomal RNA (468 nucleotides) under uncultured bacterium. RNAcentral's name for it is "partial 16S ribosomal RNA". It matches the Rfam family "Bacterial small subunit ribosomal RNA", at positions 28 to 507 of the family's 1533-position model. The record is from RNAcentral.
GACGAACGCUGGCGGCGUGCUUAACACAUGCAAGUCGAACGGAAAGGCCCUGCUUUUGUGGGGUGCUCGAGUGGCGAACGGGUGAGUAACACGUGAGUAACCUGCCCUUGACUUUGGGAUAACUUCAGGAAACUGGGGCUAAUACCGGAUAGGAGCUCCUGCUGCAUGGUGGGGGUUGGAAAGUUUCGGCGGUUGGGGAUGGACUCGGGGCUUAUCAGCUUGUUGGUGGGGUAGUGGCUUACCAAGGCUUUGACGGGUAGCCGGCCUGGGAGGGUGACCGGCCACAUUGGGACUGAGGUACGGACCAGACUCCUACGGGAGGCAGCAGUGGGGAAUAUUGCACAAUGGGGGGAAGCCUGAGGCAGCAACGCCGCGUGCGGGAUGACGGCCUUCGGGUUGUAAACCGCUUUCGCCUGUGACGAAGCGUGAGUGACGGUAAUGGGUGAAGAAGCACCGGCUAACUACGUG